Long non-coding RNA from Myotis lucifugus (little brown bat), 449 nucleotides. RefSeq lists it as uncharacterized. The record is from RefSeq and is a predicted model, not a curated record. Lineage: Eukaryota; Metazoa; Chordata; Mammalia; Chiroptera; Vespertilionidae. The transcript is spliced from 2 exons.
CUUGUUAGCUGGUUAUCUGUCUGCCUCACCUCAGAAAGCAGAACUUCGACUAUUUACUGAAACUCUUGGAAAAAGACUGGAUUCGCAAACCUGAAAAAGAAACUGAAAUACAUAGAGACCAUCCUUUCUUGGAUAAUAGAGAUGACUACGAAAAAGUGCUGAGAAAACAAAGGCGAAAGGAAAGGAAGUGAGGAUAAACAGCCCUCAGACAUCGUCAAGUCCUAGGCAAACAUUUAAAGACAUCAAAUGCAGCCAUUUAGUUCUUCUGCCUCCUUUGUCAAGGUCAGGUUAUAGGAAAGUAGCUCCUCUGGACCCUUACUUCGCAUUCCCUACUCUGAGCCACCCUGUGUCACUCUAACUAACUUGUCCCCAUCCCCCGGGGCUUUGCUUUUUAUUAGAUAAAAACCUGCUCAUCUGCCAAAGUAGUACUUAUUAAAAUGUUAAUGCUG